CGCAAGCCUGACGGAGCAACGCCGCGUGUGGGAAGAAGGCUCUUGGGCUGUCAACCACUUUUCUCAGGGAAGAAGCCCUGACGGUACCUGAGGAAUCAGCCUCGGCUAACUCCGUGCCAGCAGCCGCGGUAAUACGGAGGAGGCAAGCGUUAUCCGGAAUUAUUGGGCGUAAAGCGUCCGCAGGGGGCACAUCAAGUCUGCUGUUAAAGGCUGGAGCUUAACUCCGGUAGAGCAGUGGAAACUGGUGUGCUAGAGGGCGACAGGGGUAGAGGGAAUUCCCAGUGUAGCGGUGAAAUGCGUAGAGAUUGGGAAGAACACCGGUGGCGGAAGCGCUCUACUGGGUCGCACCUGACCCUCAGGCACGAAAGCUAAGGUAGCG
RNAcentral lists this ribosomal RNA (379 nucleotides) under uncultured cyanobacterium. RNAcentral's name for it is "bacterial SSU rRNA". It matches the Rfam family "Bacterial small subunit ribosomal RNA", at positions 376 to 770 of the family's 1533-position model. Lineage: Bacteria; Bacillati; Cyanobacteriota. The record is from RNAcentral.